This 305-nucleotide ribosomal RNA is filed under the name uncultured bacterium. Its description in RNAcentral is "bacterial SSU rRNA". It matches the Rfam family "Bacterial small subunit ribosomal RNA", at positions 338 to 659 of the family's 1533-position model. The record is from RNAcentral.
CCUACGGGAGGCAGCAGUGGGGAGUAUUGCACAAUGGGGGAAACCCUGAUGCAGCGACGCCGCGUGAGCGAAGAAGUAUUUCGGUAUGUAAAGCUCUAUCAGCAGGGAAGAAAAAUGACGGUACCUGAGUAAGAAGCACCGGCUAAAUACGUGCCAGCAGCCGCGGUAAUACGUAUGGUGCAAGCGUUAUCCGGAUUUACUGGGUGUAAAGGGUGCGUAGGUGGCAGGGCAAGUCAGAUGUGAAAGCCCGGGGCUCAACCCCGGUACUGCAUUUGAAACUGUCCAGCUGGAGUGCAGGAGAGGUA